ACUAAUCUGGCAGAUAAUAUGUGAUAGACUUAGAAUCUAUUUAUGAGAGAAGUUCUCGGUUAGUA
This 65-nucleotide transfer RNA is filed under the name Leptestheria dahalacensis. Its description in RNAcentral is "tRNA-Leu". Lineage: Eukaryota; Metazoa; Arthropoda; Branchiopoda; Diplostraca; Leptestheriidae. The record is from RNAcentral.